Long non-coding RNA from Haliotis rubra (blacklip abalone), 116 nucleotides. RefSeq lists it as uncharacterized. The transcript is spliced from 3 exons. The record is from RefSeq and is a predicted model, not a curated record. NCBI's taxonomy places the organism in Eukaryota, Metazoa, Mollusca, Gastropoda, Lepetellida, Haliotidae.
GACGCUCUAACCACUACACCACGGAGGCGGUUGCAAAGCAAUGACUACAGAAUGAAUAUAUUAGAAGAUAAACAUCAUGUGUUGGCCAAUUUCCGGGUGUUAUUGAGUAUUUGAAG